AGGGCGUAUGGGGAAUGCCUAGGCACACUCCGGCGAAGAAGGACGCAGCAAACAGCGAAAUGCGACGGUGAGCGGUAAGCACGUGAAGAGCCGUCGAUAUCCGAAUGGGGGAACCCACACGGAGUCAUAUCCGUGUAUCACAUGUCGAAUACAUAGACAUGAUGAGGCGAGACGCAGGGAACUGAAACAUCUAAGUACCUGCAGGAAGAGAAAAUAAGAAUGAUUUUCUGAGUAGCGGCGAGCGAAAGGGAAAGAGCCCAAACCGAUCUUAGGAUCGGGGUAGUAGGAUCAUCGAUAAAUCUGACAGAGGAUCAUAGAGGAAUCACAUGGGAAGGUGAGCGAGAGAGGGUGAGAGCCCCGUACUCGAAAUGAGAGACUGGAGAGAGAUGACACCUGAGUAGGGCGGGACACGAGAAAUCCUGUCUGAAUCAGCCGGGACCAUCCGGCAAGGCUAAAUACGAGAGAGUGACCGAUAGUGAACCAGUACCGUGAGGGAAAGGUGAAAAGAACCCCGGGAGGGGAGUGAAAGAGAACCUGAAACCAUAUGCCUACAAGAAGUCAGAGCCCGUUAAAGGGUGAUGGCGUGCCUUUUGUAGAAUGAACCGGCGAGUUACUGUAUGGAGCGAGGUUAAGCAGGAUAUGCGGAGCCGAAGCGAAAGCGAGUCUUAAGAGGGCGAGAGUUGCAUGCAGUAGACCCGAAACCGGGUGAUCUAGCCAUGACCAGGUUGAAGUUGGGGUAAAACCCGAUGGAGGACCGAACCGACCCCCGUUGAAACGUUGGCGGAUGAGUUGUGGCUAGGGGUGAAAUUCCAAUCGAACCCGGAGAUAGCUGGUUCUCCCCGAAAUAGCUUUAGGGCUAGCGUCGAGGUAAGUUGCGUGAAGGUAGAGCACUGAAUAUGUGAUGGCCCCAUCUCGGGGUACUGAGUAUAAUCAAACUGCGAAUGUCACGCCAACAUGCUCGGCAGUCAGACAGCGGGUGAUAAGGUCCGUUGUCAAGAGGGAAACAGCCCAGACCAUCAGCUAAGGUCCCAAAAUGUAUGCUAAGUGGAAAAGGAUGUGGAGAUGUACAGACAACUAGGAGGUUGGCUCAGAAGCAGCCAUCCUUUAAAGAGUGCGUAACAGCUCACUAGUCGAAUGACUCUGCGCCGAUAAUUUACCGGGGCUAAGCAUACUACCGAAGCUAUGGAUCCCAAGGGAUGGUAGGGGAGCGUUCCAUGAACGGAGAAGUACGACCGAAAGGACGUGUGGAGAUCAUGGAAGAGAGAAUGCCGGUGUGAGUAGCGAGAUGUAGGUGAGAAUCCUACACACCGAAAGCCCAAGGAUUCCAGGGGAAGGUUCGUCCGCCCUGGGUAAGUCGGGACCUAAGGCGAGGCCGAAAGGCGUAGUGGAUGGAAAGCAGGCGAAAGAUUCCUGCACCCGUAUAUGGAGCGAAGGAGUGACGGAGACGGAUAGUGUGACCCUCUUAAUGGAUUGAGGGCGAAGCGAAGCGGCUGGUUACCAGGCAAAUCCGGUAACCAAAAGGCUAGAGCGUGACAGGUAAGCGAAAUCUUAGGAAAGUAGCGAAGCACAUGAUGACGGCUUCCAGGAAAAGCUUCUGGCAAUGCAUAUGCGGCCCGUACCAAAACCGACACAGGUGGGCAGGGAGAGAAUCCCGAGGUGAGCGAGAGAACUGUUGCCAAGGAACUCGGCAAAAUGACUCCGUAAGUUAGCGAGAAGGAGUGCUUAAGCAAUUAAGCCGCAGUGAAGAGGCCCAAGCGACUGUUUAACUAAAACACAGCUCUCUGCGAAGUCGCAAGACGAAGUAUAGGGGGUGACACCUGCCCGGUGCUGGAAGGUUAAGAGGAUCUGUUAAGAGCGAUCUGAAGCAGUGAUCCGAAGCCCCAGUGAACGGCGGCCGUAACUAUAACGGUCCUAAGGUAGCGAAAUUCCUUGUCAGGUAAGUUCUGACCCGCACGAAAGGUGUAACGAUUUGGGCGCUGUCUCGGCAGCAGACUCGGUGAAAUCUUAGUACCUGUGAAAAUGCAGGUUACCCGCAACUAGACGGAAAGACCCCAUGGAGCUUUACUGCAGCCUGAUAUUGAAUUCUGGUCAUACAUGUACAGGAUAGGUGGGAGACAAAGAGACGUGCACGCCAGUGUACGAGGAGUCGUCGUUGGGAUACCACUCUUGUGUGACCGGGGUUCUAACCUGGUAUCGAGAACAGGUACGGGGAGAGUGUCAGGUGGGCAGUUUGACUGGGGCGGUCGCCUCCCAAAGAGUAACGGAGGCGCCCAAAGGUUCCCUCAGCGCGGCCGGAAAUCGCGCGAAGAGUGUAAAGGCAGAAGGGAGCUUGACUGAGAGCCAAACACGGCGAUCAGGUACGAAAGUAGGGCUUAGUGAUCCGGUGGCAUCCGAGUGGAAGGGCCAUCGCUCAACGGAUAAAAGCUACCCUGGGGAUAACAGGCUAAUCUCUCCCAAGAGUCCAUAUCGACGGGGAGGUUUGGCACCUCGAUGUCGGCUCAUCACAUCCUGGGGCUGAAGUAGGUCCCAAGGGUAUGGCUGUUCGCCAUUUAAAGUGGUACGCGAGCUGGGUUUAGAACGUCGUGAGACAGUUCGGUCCCUAUCUGCCGUGGGCGUUGGAGAAUUGGUUGGGGCUGCUCCUAGUACGAGAGGACCGGAGUGGACGCACCACUGGUGUUCCGGUUGUGUCGCCAGACGCAUUGCCGGGUAGCUAAGUGCGGAAGAGAUAAGUGCUGAAAGCAUCUAAGCACGAAACUUGCCAAGAGAUGAGUUCUCCCUGUCUUUAAGACAGUAAGGGUUGU
This 2801-nucleotide ribosomal RNA is filed under the name human gut metagenome. RNAcentral describes it as "bacterial LSU rRNA". It matches the Rfam family "Bacterial large subunit ribosomal RNA". The record is from RNAcentral.